This 291-nucleotide ribosomal RNA is filed under the name uncultured bacterium. RNAcentral's name for it is "partial 16S ribosomal RNA". It matches the Rfam family "Bacterial small subunit ribosomal RNA", at positions 29 to 313 of the family's 1533-position model. The record is from RNAcentral.
AAUGAACGCUGGCGGCGCGCCUAAUACAUGCAAGUCGAGCGAGAAGACGUAGCAAUACGUUUGUAAAGCGGCGAACGGGUGAGGAAUACAUGGGUAACCUACCCUAGAGUGGGGAAUAACUAGCCGAAAGGUUAGCUAAUACCGCGUACGCUCCUUGGACUUCGGUUCAGGGAGGAAAGCGAUGCCGAGGGUAUCGCGCUCUUGGAUGGGCUCAUGUCCUAUCAGCUUGUUGGGAGGUACGGCUCACCAGGCUUCGACGGGUAGCUGGUCUGAGAGGACGAUCAGCCACAC